This 496-nucleotide ribosomal RNA is filed under the name uncultured bacterium. RNAcentral describes it as "partial 16S ribosomal RNA". It matches the Rfam family "Bacterial small subunit ribosomal RNA", at positions 29 to 507 of the family's 1533-position model. The record is from RNAcentral.
AUGAACGCUGGCGGCGUGCCUAAUACAUGCAAGUCGAGCGAACGGACGAGAAGCUUGCUUCUCUGAUGUUAGCGGCGGACGGGUGAGUAACACGUGGAUAACCUACCUAUAAGACUGGGAUAACUUCGGGAAACCGGAGCUAAUACCGGAUAAUAUUUUGAACCGCAUGGUUCAAAAGUAAAAGACGGUCUUGCUGUCACUUAUAGAUGGAUCCGCGCUGCAUUAGCUAGUUGGUAAGGUAACGGCUUACCAAGGCAACGAUGCAUAGCCGACCUGAGAGGGUGAUCGGCCACACUGGAACUGAGACACGGUCCAGACUACUACGGGAGGCAGCAGUAGGGAAUCUUCCGCAAAGGGCGAAAGCCUGACGGAGCAACGCCGCGUGAGUGAUGAAGGUCUUCGGAUCGUAAAACUCUGUUAUUAGGGAAGAACAUAUGUGUAAGUAACUGUGCACAUCUUGACGGUACCUAAUCAGAAAGCCACGGCUAACUACGUG